UACGUAGGUGGCGAGCGUUGUCCGGAAUUACUGGGUGUAAAGGGAGUGUAGGCGGGAAAGCAAGUCAGAAGUGAAAACUAUGGGCUCAACCCAUAGCCUGCUUUUGAAACUGUUUUUCUUGAGUGAAGUAGAGGCAAGCGGAAUUCCUAGUGUAGCGGUGAAAUGCGUAGAUAUUAGGAGGAACACCAGUGGCGAAGGCGGCUUGCUGGGCUUUUACUGACGCUGAGGCUCGAAAGCGUGGGGAGCAAACA
Molecule: ribosomal RNA, 251 nt
Filed under: uncultured bacterium
Lineage: Bacteria
Description: partial 16S ribosomal RNA
Rfam family: Bacterial small subunit ribosomal RNA
Source: RNAcentral